GAAACCCAGCAUGAGUUAUGUCAUGUUAUCGAUAUGUGAAUACAUAGCAUAUCAGAAGGCACACCCGGAGAACUGAAACAUCUUAGUACCCGGAGGAAGAGAAAGAAAAUUCGAUUCCCUUAGUAGCGGCGAGCGAAACGGGAAGAGCCCAAACCAACAAGCUUGCUUGUUGGGGUUGUAGGACACUCUAUACGGAGUUACAAAGGACGACAUUAGACGAAUCAUCUGGAAAGAUGAAUCAAAGAAGGUAAUAAUCCUGUAGUCGAAAAUGUUGUCUCUCUUGAGUGGAUCCUGAGUACGACGGAGCACGUGAAAUUCCGUCGGAAUCUGGGAGGACCAUCUCCUAAGGCUAAAUACUCUCUAGUGACCGAUAGUGAACCAGUACCGUGAGGGAAAGGUGAAAAGCACCCCGGAAGGGGAGUGAAAUAGAACCUGAAACCGUGUGCUUACAAGUAGUCAGAGCCCGUUAAUGGGUGAUGGCGUGCCUUUUGUAGAAUGAACCGGCGAGUUACGAUUUGAUGCAAGGUUAAGCAGUAAAUGUGGAGCCGUAGCGAAAGCGAGUCUGAAUAGGGCGUUUAGUAUUUGGUCGUAGACCCGAAACCAGGUGAUCUACCCUUGGUCAGGUUGAAGUUCAGGUAACACUGAAUGGAGGACCGAACCGACUUACGUUGAAAAGUGAGCGGAUGAACUGAGGGUAGCGGAGAAAUUCCAAUCGAACCUGGAGAUAGCUGGUUCUCUCCGAAAUAGCUUUAGGGCUAGCCUCAAGUGAUGAUUAUUGGAGGUAGAGCACUGUUUGGACGAGGGGCCCCUCUCGGGUUACCGAAUUCAGACAAACUCCGAAUGCCAAUUAAUUUAACUUGGGAGUCAGAACAUGGGUGAUAAGGUCCGUGUUCGAAAGGGAAACAGCCCAGACCACCAGCUAAGGUCCCAAAAUAUAUGUUAAGUGGAAAAGGAUGUGGCGUUGCCCAGACAACUAGGAUGUUGGCUUAGAAGCAGCCAUCAUUUAAAGAGUGCGUAAUAGCUCACUAGUCGAGUGACACUGCGCCGAAAAUGUACCGGGGCUAAACAUAUUACCGAAGCUGUGGAUUGUCCUUUGGACAAUGGUAGGAGAGCGUUCUAAGGGCGUUGAAGCAUGAUCGUAAGGACAUGUGGAGCGCUUAGAAGUGAGAAUGCCGGUGUGAGUAGCGAAAGACGGGUGAGAAUCCCGUCCACCGAUUGACUAAGGUUUCCAGAGGAAGGCUCGUCCGCUCUGGGUUAGUCGGGUCCUAAGCUGAGGCCGACAGGCGUAGGCGAUGGAUAACAGGUUGAUAUUCCUGUACCACCUAUAAUCGUUUUAAUCGAUGGGGGGACGCAGUAGGAUAGGCGAAGCGUGCGAUUGGAUUGCACGUCUAAGCAGUAAGGCUGAGUAUUAGGCAAAUCCGGUACUCGUUAAGGCUGAGCUGUGAUGGGGAGAAGACAUUGUGUCUUCGAGUCGUUGAUUUCACACUGCCGAGAAAAGCCUCUAGAUAGAAAAUAGGUGCCCGUACCGCAAACCGACACAGGUAGUCAAGAUGAGAAUUCUAAGGUGAGCGAGCGAACUCUCGUUAAGGAACUCGGCAAAAUGACCCCGUAACUUCGGGAGAAGGGGUGCUCUUUAGGGUUAACGCCCAGAAGAGCCGCAGUGAAUAGGCCCAAGCGACUGUUUAUCAAAAACACAGGUCUCUGCUAAACCGUAAGGUGAUGUAUAGGGGCUGACGCCUGCCCGGUGCUGGAAGGUUAAGAGGAGUGGUUAGCUUCUGCGAAGCUACGAAUCGAAGCCCCAGUAAACGGCGGCCGUAACUAUAACGGUCCUAAGGUAGCGAAAUUCCUUGUCGGGUAAGUUCCGACCCGCACGAAAGGCGUAACGAUUUGGGCACUGUCUCAACGAGAGACUCGGUGAAAUCAUAGUACCUGUGAAGAUGCAGGUUACCCGCGACAGGACGGAAAGACCCCGUGGAGCUUUACUGUAGCCUGAUAUUGAAAUUCGGCACAGCUUGUACAGGAUAGGUAGGAGCCUUUGAAACGUGAGCGCUAGCUUACGUGGAGGCGCUGGUGGGAUACUACCCUAGCUGUGUUGGCUUUCUAACCCGCACCACUUAUCGUGGUGGGAGACAGUGUCAGGCGGGCAGUUUGACUGGGGCGGUCGCCUCCUAAAAGGUAACGGAGGCGCUCAAAGGUUCCCUCAGAAUGGUUGGAAAUCAUUCAUAGAGUGUAAAGGCAUAAGGGAGCUUGACUGCGAGACCUACAAGUCGAGCAGGGUCGAAAGACGGACUUAGUGAUCCGGUGGUUCCGCAUGGAAGGGCCAUCGCUCAACGGAUAAAAGCUACCCCGGGGAUAACAGGCUUAUCUCCCCCAAGAGUUCACAUCGACGGGGAGGUUUGGCACCUCGAUGUCGGCUCAUCGCAUCCUGGGGCUGUAGUCGGUCCCAAGGGUUGGGCUGUUCGCCCAUUAAAGCGGUACGCGAGCUGGGUUCAGAACGUCGUGAGACAGUUCGGUCCCUAUCCGUCGUGGGCGUAGGAAAUUUGAGAGGAGCUGUCCUUAGUACGAGAGGACCGGGAUGGACAUACCUCUGGUGUACCAGUUGUCGUGCCAACGGCAUAGCUGGGUAGCUAUGUGUGGACGGGAUAAGUGCUGAAAGCAUCUAAGCAUGAAGCCCCCCUCAAGAUGAGAU
RNAcentral lists this ribosomal RNA (2689 nucleotides) under Staphylococcus aureus. RNAcentral's name for it is "partial 23S ribosomal RNA". It matches the Rfam family "Bacterial large subunit ribosomal RNA". Lineage: Bacteria; Bacillati; Bacillota; Bacilli; Caryophanales; Staphylococcaceae. The record is from RNAcentral.